CACGUAGGGGGCGAGCGUUGUUCGGAAUUACUGGGCGUAAAGGGCAUGUAGGCGGUCUUGUAAGCCUGACGUGAAAGGCUAUGGCUUAACCAUGGCACUGCGUUGGGAACUGCGAGACUUGAAUCACGGAGGGGGAACUGGAAUUCCGGGUGUAGGGGUGAAAUCUGUAGAUAUCUGGAAGAACACCAGUGGCGAAGGCGAGUUCCUGGCCGAUGAUUGACGCUGAGGUGCGAAAGUGUGGGGAUCAAACAGGAUUAGAGACCCUGGUAGUCCACACUGUCAACGAUGUGCACUAGGUGCUGGGGCGGAUGUUUCAGUGCCGGAGCUAACGCGGUAAGUGCACCGCCUGGGGAGUACGGCCGCAAGGCUAAA
RNAcentral lists this ribosomal RNA (372 nucleotides) under uncultured bacterium. RNAcentral describes it as "bacterial SSU rRNA". It matches the Rfam family "Bacterial small subunit ribosomal RNA", at positions 524 to 898 of the family's 1533-position model. The record is from RNAcentral.